CUCGUGCUUAAAUAUGCGUCAAACCGGUUAUGAAGAAAUAAAACAUCAACACUCAGUGACAGAAACAUCAUAAUGAUUAAGUCUGCAGAACCAUGACUUGGUCUGUGCUGUUGUUCUUGGUACUGAUGAUGUUACUGCCAUUAAACAGGGGAGUCAGUGCAGCCUCCUCACUGCACAUCACCAUAGAAUUUCAAAAUGAGACCAUGAGCAGUGGACUAACAACCAACCAACCAAGUUCUACAGCUUCAACAAAUUGUUCAGGUGACCAUUUGCUUCGCUCGAUGUUGUGGAUGCAGCAUGUCCAUGGGAGCAUCCUUUCCAAUAUCAGUUCUGAGAAGGGUUUUUACCUGGAUUUUGUUUACUCAGCAAUUCACAAUCUAACAUCUACUCCACCACAACCUGUGACCCCUUUCACACACUGUAUUCCUCCUACAACAAAGAACCCAACAGAAACUAGAGAUUGCCAAAGAGUGAUCUUUCACCUCAAUGCCAACAUUUUAUCUUCUCAUGGUGACAGUGAAGAUGUGAUUUUAGAGGCUUUCUCUAAUUUUAUGGAGCAGGUCAUUCAACCAAAGUGUGAGGGAUGUAAAAUAAAAAUCACACACUUAAAGCCGACCUAAGAAGCAAAGACAUGAGUACUACACAAGCUCUGAACUGAAGACACAACAACGACUCAAAUCAUUUUAUUUAGCGUCACAGUCCUUCAUUCUGCCAUUAUCUGAUAGCUUGUGGUUAGCAUAGCAUUCCUCUCGUGCUUAACUGUGCGUCAAACCGGUUAUGAAGAAAUAAAACAUCAACACUCAGUGACA
This 809-nucleotide long non-coding RNA is filed under the name Gouania willdenowi (blunt-snouted clingfish). RNAcentral's name for it is "lncRNA (ENSGWIG00000006413.1)". Lineage: Eukaryota; Metazoa; Chordata; Actinopteri; Blenniiformes; Gobiesocidae. The record is from RNAcentral.